Molecule: ribosomal RNA, 420 nt
Filed under: bacterium
Lineage: Bacteria
Description: partial 16S ribosomal RNA
Rfam family: Bacterial small subunit ribosomal RNA
Source: RNAcentral
UGGGGGAUAUUGCACAAUGGGCGAAAGCCUGAUGCAGCGACGCCGCGUGGGGGAUGAAGGCUUUCGGGUUGUAAACCUCUUUCGCUAUCGAACAAGGCCCGCUUAGGGUGGGUUGAGGGUAGGUGGAGAAGAAGCGCCGGCUAACUACGUGCCAGCAGCCGCGGUAAUACGUAGGGCGCGAGCGUUGUCCAGAAUUAUUGGGCGUAAAGGGCUUGUAGGCGGCUUGUUGCGCCUGCUGUGAAAACGCGGGGCUUAACUUCGCGCGUGCAGUGGGUACGGGCAGGCAUGAGUGUGGUAGGGGUGACUGGAAUUCCAGGUGUAGCGGUGGAAUGCGCAGAUAUCUGGAGGAACACCGAUGGCGAAGGCAGGUCACUGGGCCAUUACUGACGCUGAGGAGCGAAAGCAUGGGUAGCGAACAGG